UCUACUUGUAGAGCGUGACCUCCACUUUCUAACUCUGUGCAUUUAUUGGCGGAAGGACUUGAGCAAUCGAGCUUCCUUCUGCGGCUCAUUUUAAAACACUAGUUAAAGUAUGUAACGAAAUAUCGAAACAAAAAAAACUUUCAACAACGGAUCUCUUGGCUUGCUCAUCGAUGAAGAACGCAGCGAAAUGUGAUAAGUAAUGUGAAUUGCAGAAUUCAGUGAAUCAUCGAAUCUUUGAACGCACCUUGCGCUCUCUGGUAUUCCGGAGAGCAUGUCUGUUUGAGUGUCAUGAACUCUUCAACCCACCAGUUUCUUGUAGACUGAAUGGUGUUUGGUUUCUGAGCGUUGCUGGUCUUCGGAUCUAGCUCGUUCGUAAUAUAUUAGCAUCUCUAAUUCGAACUCGGAUUGACUCAGUGUAAUAGACUAUUCGCUGAGGACACGCUCUUGUAGUGUGGCCGAAUGAGAUCUCAGUAGAAGCUUCCAACUACUUUAGUCAACUUUAGAUUAGACCUCAGAUCAGGCAGGAUUACCCGCUGAACUUAAGCAUAUCAAUAAGCGGAGGAAAAGAAACUAACAAGGAUUCCCCUAGUAACGGCGAGUGAAGCGGGAAGAGCUCAAAUUUGUAAUCUGGCACUUUCAGUGUCCGAGUUGUAAUCUCGAGAAGUAUUUUCCGCGCCGGACCGCAUACAAGUCUGUUGGAAUACAGCGUCAUAGUGGUGAGAACCCCGUAACUGAUGCGGAUGCCCGGUGCUUUGUGAUAUACUUUCGAAGAG
RNAcentral lists this ribosomal RNA (773 nucleotides) under Leucosporidium creatinivorum. RNAcentral describes it as "eukaryotic LSU rRNA". The stretch from base 507 to 773 matches the Rfam family "Eukaryotic large subunit ribosomal RNA", at positions 1 to 264 of the family's 3401-position model. Lineage: Eukaryota; Fungi; Basidiomycota; Microbotryomycetes; Leucosporidiales; Leucosporidiaceae. The record is from RNAcentral.